UAAAUACUUAAAAUUUAAAAGAUUUGGCGGUAAUUUAAUCUCACCAGAGGAACCUGUUCUUUAAUCGAUAAAACACGUUAAAUCUCACUCGUCUUUGUUCUCAGUUUGUAUACCGUCAUUAGCAGUUAAUCAUUAGAGGGAAUUAAUAAGUAUAAUUGUUUAUAAGAAAAUUAGAUCAAGGUGCAGCUUAUAGGCGAGAUAGGAUGGGUUACAAUAAAUUACUAUUAGAUGGAAUAACAAAGGAAGAGUUUGUUAUCAAGGUGGAUUUGGUUGUACUAUAAACUAAAAAGUUUAAAAGAAAUGAGCACUAAAUUAUGUACAUAUCGCCCGUCGCUUUCAUUUAAAAGUGAAAUAAGUCGUAACAUAGUAGAUGUACUGGAAAGUGUAUCUGGAAUAGU
Molecule: ribosomal RNA, 398 nt
Filed under: Mictyris brevidactylus
Lineage: Eukaryota; Metazoa; Arthropoda; Malacostraca; Decapoda; Mictyridae
Description: partial 12S ribosomal RNA
Source: RNAcentral